GUCGGUAUCGAUUAGGGGUUAAAUCACCUCGUUGUGGCCAGGCCAAUCCGAGGAGCCGCUGGUUCGAUUCCAGCUACCGACA
This is a non-coding RNA of Pholiota molesta, 82 nucleotides long. The record is from the annotation of a GenBank genome assembly. Lineage: Eukaryota; Fungi; Basidiomycota; Agaricomycetes; Agaricales; Strophariaceae.